Molecule: microRNA precursor, 73 nt
Organism: Ochotona princeps (American pika)
Lineage: Eukaryota; Metazoa; Chordata; Mammalia; Lagomorpha; Ochotonidae
Source: Ensembl
GUGUGUGUGUGUGUGUGUGUGUGUGUGUGUGUGUAGCCCAAGGCUGUGCAGCACACUCACCCACCGCCGCCCA